This is a long non-coding RNA of Sander lucioperca (pikeperch), 267 nucleotides long. RefSeq lists it as uncharacterized. The record is from RefSeq and is a predicted model, not a curated record. NCBI's taxonomy places the organism in Eukaryota, Metazoa, Chordata, Actinopteri, Perciformes, Percidae. The transcript has 3 exons.
CUUUGUUGUUACAUGAAGUCGCAUCACUCGCUCUGAAUGUUCUCAGCUGAUUGAAUGGGUGUUGAUAUCAAGACCAGAUAUAUCAGGUGGUCAGGCCCUACUCUUCGUCCUAGUUGGCUCAGUAGGAUUAUGCAUUAUCAUGCAUUGGUAUUCUCCAAUUUUAUUCUCUUUGUACAUGCUCCCAUUGGGCUCCAUUCUUCACAAACAUAACAUAUCUUAUCAUUGUUAUGCUGAUGACACACAGCUGUACCUGCCUCUAAAAUCUCU